GUGCGUCAAAUACAUGGUAUGUAGUGUGUGUAAUGUUUUCUUUAUUGAUUUAAUGUAUCUUUUAUACAUUAUUUUAAAAAAAUAUUAGCAUUGUGCACUUCUUCUCUAUAUUCUCUAUAAGUGUGGAAAAUUUCAUACUCCUCCGUCCGCGCAAUUUUCGUAAAAAGGGAUUCAAAUUUUUGCUUCACGUAUUAAUAUUAUACAGAUAAUUCUGCUGACGCCUUGCAUGUGACUGAGAAAUUGCGGCUCCAAUCCGAUCGUUUGUAUUAAACUUAGCUAUUAAUAUUAUCUAAAGGACUAAAAUGAACACGCUUCGGGAAUGUUUCAGGUUGACAGAACAACUAAAAAUGGAAAGAAUACUUUGGAGUUGUACUAUAUUAUAGACUAGCGACCCGCCCUCGCUUCGCUUCGGAAACAUUAAAACACACAUGAAACCAAAAAUAUAAAAAAAAAAAAAAUUAAAAAAAGUAGCCUAUCUUCAUCAGGGACAAUGUCGGCUUCUAAUGGAAAAAGAAUUUUUCAAAUCGGUCCAGUAGUUUCGGAGCCUAUUCGAAACAAACAAACAAACAAAUCUUUCCUCUUUAUAAUAUUAGUAUAGAUAUUUAUUAUGCACAUAAUAUCCAUCAAUUAAAGCUAAGUGGUGAUA
This is a long non-coding RNA of Bombyx mori (domestic silkworm), 646 nucleotides long. RefSeq lists it as uncharacterized. NCBI's taxonomy places the organism in Eukaryota, Metazoa, Arthropoda, Insecta, Lepidoptera, Bombycidae. The record is from RefSeq and is a predicted model, not a curated record. The transcript has 2 exons.